UUGAUAGAACCAGAAAUAUAUAACCAGCGACCAAAUUCACUCUAACCUCGAUAACUUUACAUCAAAACUCUGCUUAGUAGCUCAAUACCGGUGAGACAUAAAAAGAAAGACAAACAUAGAAUUACAGAGAAAAUACCACAUCUAAUAUUUCCGCUUCCUUAUCUUGAAGGUGGAUGAUCGGAUAACAUCGUCGUCGGCCUUUAGA
Molecule: unclassified non-coding RNA, 205 nt
Filed under: Hevea brasiliensis (rubber tree)
Lineage: Eukaryota; Viridiplantae; Streptophyta; Magnoliopsida; Malpighiales; Euphorbiaceae
Source: RNAcentral